CUGAGGAAACCUUUUCCACAAUUUUAUUGUUUAGAACAGUAGAUCUCUGGACACACACACACAAACUCUGUGGCUUUAAGUGAAAUUCACAAAACAGCAGCAUCAGUGCAAAAGCUUCUCAAUAUACAAACAACAGUGCUAGCUACGUACCAACCCCUCCACUAAAUCGACCCUUCCGUUCUCACUCUAUUACAUAGGCAAACGGGCUAUACCAUUCCCAUAACAGGGAUGUCCAGGAUAUUUGAACAACAUUGGAAUGUACAAAAUAAGCCUAGAAUAGCUCCACCUACUUUGGCAAGUUCUAACUACGUCACAACAACGUUAUACCAAUAGUGUCCUUUUCAAAACAGAACAAAAGUUUACAACAUGUAAUUCUUUUUUACAAGAAGGCCACACAAAUGAUAUCUAUGGAUGACAUCCUGGCGAUGCCCCAAAUUUGUAGUAAGAGAAUGGAAAAAAAAGUGAACAUAGUUUUAUCUGGUUAUGUAUGUUUUACAACCUAUCCUUUCUAACAGUAUACACCAUGAAUAACAUCAAUUGUACAUCACAUUAAACUGGCCUGAUGGCUUGAUCGGUAGUAUUACAGUGGUAGAGAAAAUAAUGCUAUACUGGACUGGAAAAAAAGUUUUGGGCAACCUGCAAUGCAGUUUCGAUACAUACAGAAGAUGGACAGUUGAUGUGUAUGAAAAAAAUGAUUGAUUUUGCUUUCUACGAAUUUAAAGCAGAUGUGUGAUUUUAGCUUCGUUUGAAAGUUACCAAAAAGGUUUCCUUGUGUCGAGGUGCAUUUUCUCCAGACAUAUUGUAUGGAAAGAUGUCAAGUGAGAAAAUAAAAUAUGCGGCACAUAUUUCAAAUGACAAAAAAAAAUUGAAAGAAGCAUAUGCUUAAAUGAAUAAAACAACUUUCUCACAUACACAUGUACACCAGACAUUAUACAUAUAUCUUACACCUGUCACUGUAACAAUUGAAUCCUCACAAUAGACUUCACAUGAAGGAGAUACAAAAUGCAAUAUUCAAGUCCACUUAUGAUGCCAUAAACAUCGCUUGAGUUUGAUCUAUGGCCUGUGAACACACAUUGGAAAUUGGCAAUGAGCAAUCAGCAAAUGGCCUUACACGCAGUUACAUGAUGGCAAAGAAGUGACAACCUGUAUUACAUGGGUCAUUAAGUACACAAGUCAUGGGCCAAUUCUAAAGACUGGUUUCAAGUCAGGGCUCGAAAUACCACCUGCAUAUGCAGGUUAGUGCAGGUAAAAUUGGAGCUGUGCAGGUAUUACAGAUGUCUUCCUGCACUGAUCCAUGUACUGAGUUUAUAUAGUACACGUUUCUUGACGUAGACUAUUACUAGCUACAUUGACUGUUACAACAUAUGAAGUAUAAAAGAAAUAAAGGCAAUGGUUUCUGAAGUUUUUAGUAUGAUCAAUACUUUCUAAAUUCUGAGACUUGCAGGUAAAAAUUGUCUGGUGCAGGUAAUUUUUAAUGUUACCCACACCUGUGCAGGUAUGCAGAAAAAAAAGUAUUUCAAGCCCUGCAAGUGUCACACCAAUCAUCAUAUUUCUUUGUCCUUGGGCUACAAAAGAAUGUUGAGAUGGAGAAUCAACAUGAAAACAAAGUCUGAGGGAAAGGCUGUACCUUAGCAUAAUGGUAGUUCACCUUUAUUCGCAGGGUAACCUAUAUCCGUUGCUUUCAGAAGACGGGCAUUUAGGGAUAUCAAUUCGACGGAUGAUAGUUUUAAACUACACUAGUUUGAACAUAUUACAACUUGAAACCUCCGUCUGUGGACUUGAUAUCCCUUAAUACCGUGUGGAUAAACACAACGAAUAUAGGUUACCCUGCGGAUAAAGGUGAACUAGCGUUACAUGUAUAUUGAGUUUCAAGAAGUGAAUACAGUCGUCAAAGUCAAGUUUUCCUCCCUGCCCUUACAUCUGUUUUCAUUCUGACCUCACCUCAGGGUUGUAGCCAGCCUGAAAUCAUUUUCUGUCCCCUCGAUUUUGAAUGGCUUUGGCGCAGCGUUCCUAAAGGGUCUGGGGGCAUGCUCCCCUGGAAAAUUUUGAAAUCUUAGACUAGAUCCUCUGAAAUGCUAUUUCCUGCAUUUUGAGGGUUAAAUUUUGCUCACAGAGGACGGAAUGGGCAAAAAAAUUUUCUGUCCCCAGCUGCAAAAUUCCGUCAAAGGACGGAAGGACGGGUGCUGGCUACAACCCUGCCUCUCCUUCUUACUUGGCAUAGAAAACACACAAUAUCAUACAUUUCACCUGGUCCCAAACAACCUUUCACUGAUGUUACCUCCUCUUAUUUAAAGAUACACUGUAUUGGCAGGAUUUGGAAUGUUUUCACUGAUAGGGACACACAUAACACACCUGGUAUACCGUAUCAUCCACAUCACAUAUGGCUAAUAUUUGCAAACAAACAAAAU
Branchiostoma floridae (Florida lancelet) is the source of this 2408-nucleotide long non-coding RNA. RefSeq lists it as uncharacterized. The record is from RefSeq and is a predicted model, not a curated record. Lineage: Eukaryota; Metazoa; Chordata; Leptocardii; Amphioxiformes; Branchiostomatidae. The transcript has 2 exons.